UUGUCGUAACAAGGUUUCCGUAGGUGAACCUGCGGAAGGAUCAUUA
This 46-nucleotide ribosomal RNA is filed under the name uncultured Phialocephala. RNAcentral's name for it is "partial 18S ribosomal RNA". It matches the Rfam family "Eukaryotic small subunit ribosomal RNA", at positions 1786 to 1831 of the family's 1831-position model. The record is from RNAcentral. Lineage: Eukaryota; Fungi; Ascomycota; Leotiomycetes; Helotiales.